GAGUUUGAUCGUGGCUCAGGAUGAACGCUGGCGGCGUGCCUAAUACAUGCAAGUCGAACGAACAGAUAAGGAGCUUGCUCCUUUGACGUUAGCGGCGGACGGGUGAGUAACACGUGGGUAACCUACCUAUAAGACUGGGAAUAACUCCGGGAAACCGGGGCUAAUGCCGGAUAACAUGUUGAACCGCAUGGUUCUACAGUGAAAGACGGUCUUGCUGUCACUUAUAGAUGGACCCGCGCCGUAUUAGCUAGUUGGUGGGGUAACGGCCUACCAAGGCGACGAUACGUAGCCGACCUGAGAGGGUGAUCGGCCACACUGGAACUGAGACACGGUCCAGACUCCUACGGGAGGCAGCAGUAGGGAAUCUUCCGCAAUGGGCGAAAGCCCGACGGAGCAACGCCGCGUGAGUGAUGAAGGUCUUCGGAUCGUAAAGCUCUGUUGUUAGGGAAGAACAAAUGUGUAAGUAACUGUGCAUAUCUUGACGGUACCUAACCAGAAAGCCACGGCUAACUACGUGCCAGCAGCCGCCGCCGU
Molecule: ribosomal RNA, 534 nt
Filed under: uncultured microorganism
Description: bacterial SSU rRNA
Rfam family: Bacterial small subunit ribosomal RNA
Source: RNAcentral